UUACAAGUAGCCAGUUUGGCAAAUGGGCAAUUUGUCAUUUCAGAAGAUCAUCAUUAACGAAUCCCAACAAAAACAAGUUAUAUUAAAACAUAAGACAGUUGUUGGGCAAACAGCAUGAAUAUAAGUUUGUCAAAACCUUACUAAUCGUAACAAAACAUUAAUGCACACACCUCUUUACUACACAGAUAUUACAAAUUAAUUGAUCGUCCUCCUCUCCUAGUCUUUUUGUCCAGCGAUAUGUCUGAACUUAAUUAAUAACUCUGUUUUGUAAACUUGUCUUAAGUAAAUAAUAACAUCUACAACAUCACAUAAAU
This is a non-coding RNA of Pelobates cultripes (western spadefoot toad), 314 nucleotides long. The record is from the annotation of a GenBank genome assembly. Lineage: Eukaryota; Metazoa; Chordata; Amphibia; Anura; Pelobatidae.